AUAUAAACGUAUCUGUCAAGACCUACCCAAAACUGAGCAAAUAUAAAGAUCUUGAAAUAGAAAUCAGCAAAAUGUGGAACCUGAAGACUAAGACAAUACUUGUUGUCAUAGGUGCCCUAGGAAUGACAGCAAACGGGGCUGAUUACUACCUGCCUCAGAUACCAGUAAAUCCAAAAUGGCUGAUGUU
Molecule: long non-coding RNA, 187 nt
Organism: Octopus sinensis (East Asian common octopus)
Lineage: Eukaryota; Metazoa; Mollusca; Cephalopoda; Octopoda; Octopodidae
Exons: 4
Source: RefSeq, a predicted model, not a curated record